Molecule: ribosomal RNA, 454 nt
Filed under: Phasmarhabditis sp. DL308
Lineage: Eukaryota; Metazoa; Nematoda; Chromadorea; Rhabditida; Rhabditidae
Also listed under: 1 other name
Description: partial 12S ribosomal RNA
Source: RNAcentral
UGAAGUUUUCUUUUAGAGAAUUAAGAUUUGAUCAUGGUUUUAAAUGAUUUUAAAUGGUAUUAUCUAAAUUUGAUUUACGGAGUGGACAAUGAAAAUUUAUCCCGGCAAAUUAUCGCUUGUAAAAUACUUGUUCCAGAAUAAUCGGCUAGACUUGUUAAGCUUGUACUUUAAUUGUUGUUAACUAUAAAUUUAUUUUUAUAACUUUAAAAGUUUAAGGUAGAAUUAGAACUUUUUUAUGUAUAGUUUUAUAGUUUUAAAUUUUGUUGAACGAAUUAGAUUAGUACCUAAUUAGACAAAAAUUAAAAGAGCAGAAGUAAAGUUGUAUUUAAACUGAAAAGAUAUUGGCAGACAUUCUAAAUUAUCUUUGGAGGCUGAGUAAUAAUUGAGAACCCCCAUUAACUACUUAGUUUUUAGACUCAUGUAUGAUCGUUUAUUUUAUUCUUAAGAUAAAUAA